UGGGGAAUAUUGGACAAUGGGGGCAACCCUGAUCCAGCGAUGCCGCGUGUGUGAAGAAGGCCUGCGGGUUGUAAAGCACUUUUGUUAGGGGCGAAGUGUGGUUGUUUAAGAGAUGGCUACAUUGACAGUACCUAAAGAAUAAGCACCGGCUAACUCUGUGCCAGCAGCCGCGGUAAUACAGAGGGUGCAAGCGUUAAUCGGAGUAACUGGGCGUAAAGGGCGAGUAGGCGGGUUUAUACGUUAGAUGUGAAAUACACGGGCUCAACCUGUGAGGGUCAUCUAAAACGGUAAGUCUAGAGUACAGUAGAGGGGAGUGGAAUUUCCGGAGGAGCGGUGAAAUGCGUAGAUCUCGGAAGGAACACCGGUGGCGAAGGCGACUCCCUGGGCUGUAACUGACGCU
This 400-nucleotide ribosomal RNA is filed under the name uncultured bacterium. RNAcentral's name for it is "bacterial SSU rRNA". It matches the Rfam family "Bacterial small subunit ribosomal RNA", at positions 355 to 747 of the family's 1533-position model. The record is from RNAcentral.